Molecule: long non-coding RNA, 282 nt
Organism: Oncorhynchus gorbuscha (pink salmon)
Lineage: Eukaryota; Metazoa; Chordata; Actinopteri; Salmoniformes; Salmonidae
Exons: 2
Source: RefSeq, a predicted model, not a curated record
UCUGGUUGGUUAAAUAAAGAUGGUGGGAGGUUGAGCUGAUGUCGUUGAGGUUCUGGUUGGUUAAAUAAAGAUGGUGGGAGGUUGAGCUGAUGUCGUUGAGGUUUAAAUAAAGUAGUGGUUGAUUUGAGGUUGUAAUAUGUUCUAUGGGAUCUGCUGUGUUGAGGUUAUGGUUGGUUAAAUAAAGUAGUGGUUGAUUUGAGGUUGUAAUAUGACUGUGUUGGGAUCUGCUGUGUUGAUCCGUUGCUGUACAGAUGUGCUCAGAAUAAAUGUUUUAUUAAACCC